Molecule: ribosomal RNA, 426 nt
Filed under: uncultured bacterium
Lineage: Bacteria
Description: bacterial SSU rRNA
Rfam family: Bacterial small subunit ribosomal RNA
Source: RNAcentral
UGGGGAAUUGUUCGCAAUGGGCGCAAGCCUGACGACGCAACGCCGCGUGGAGGACGAAGAUCUUCGGGUCGUAAACUCCUUUCGAUCGGGAAGAACGCCUUCCGGGUGAACAAUCCGGAGGGGUGACGGUACCGAGAGAAGAAGCCCCGGCUAACUCUGUGCCAGCAGCCGCGGUAAUACAGAGGGGGCAAGCGUUGUUCGGAAUUACUGGGCGUAAAGGGCGCGUAGGCGGCCUUCUAAGUCGAACGUGAAAUCCCCGGGCUCAACCCGGGAACUGCGUCCGAUACUGGGAGGCUUGAAUCCGGGAGAGGGAUGUGGAAUUCCAGGUGUAGCGGUGAAAUGCGUAGAUAUCUGGAGGAACACCGGUGGCGAAGGCGGCAUCCUGGACCGGUAUUGACGCUGAGGCGCGAAAGCUAGGGGAGCAAA